CUUACCAUGCAGUCGAGCGGGCAUAGCAAUAUGUCAGCGGCAGACGGGUGAGUAACGCGUGGGAACGUACCUUUUGGUUCGGAACAACACAGGGAAACUUGUGCUAAUACCGGAUAAGCCCUUACGGGGAAAGAUUUAUCGCCCAAAGAUCGGCCCGCGUCUGAUUUCUAGUUGGUGAGGUAAUGGCUCACCAAGGCGACGA
RNAcentral lists this ribosomal RNA (202 nucleotides) under Bradyrhizobium embrapense. Its description in RNAcentral is "partial 16S ribosomal RNA". It matches the Rfam family "Bacterial small subunit ribosomal RNA", at positions 54 to 279 of the family's 1533-position model. Lineage: Bacteria; Pseudomonadati; Pseudomonadota; Alphaproteobacteria; Hyphomicrobiales; Nitrobacteraceae. The record is from RNAcentral.